RNAcentral lists this ribosomal RNA (449 nucleotides) under uncultured bacterium. Its description in RNAcentral is "partial 16S ribosomal RNA". It matches the Rfam family "Bacterial small subunit ribosomal RNA", at positions 29 to 523 of the family's 1533-position model. The record is from RNAcentral.
AACGAACGCUGGCGGCAGGCCUAACACAUGCAAGUCGAACGCCCUGGCAACAGGGAGUGGCAGACGGGUGAGUAACGCGUGGGAACGUGCCCUUCGGUUCGGAAUAACUCAGGGAAACUUGAGCUAAUACCGGAUACGUGCGAGAGCAGAAAGAUUUAUCGCCGAAGGAUCGGCCCGCGUCCGAUUAGCUAGUUGGUGAGGUGACGGCUCACCAAGGCGACGAUCGGUAGCUGGUCUGAGAGGAUGAUCAGCCACACUGGGACUGAGACACGGCCCAGACUCCUACGGGAGGCAGCAGUGGGGAAUAUUGGACAAUGGGCGCAAGCCUGAUCCAGCCAUGCCGCGUGAGUGAUGAAGGCCCUAGGGUUGUAAAGCUCUUUCGCCAGGGACGAUAAUGACGGUACCUGGAUAAGGAGCCCCGGCUAACUUCGUGCCAGCCGCCGCGGUAA